GUGCUUUUUCCUUUGAAGUUAAGAAGUGCCCUUGCGUUGCUGGGUCUAUAACGAGAAGAUUUGAGGGCCUUGGCUGUGAUACUGCAGGAGCAAGAUAACUGAUUUGAGUGUGUUAUCGCGGUGCAACUUGUCACAACAAGUGGACCACCCUCUGCAAGAACAGAGCAAGAGGAGGCAAGGAAGAAAAGACACUGUGAUUUUAUUGCUAAAACAACUACUGCUUCCAACUGUAAUGGGAUGCAAUUGUGGGCCGUGUACUGGCAAGUCUACAUAUCAGGUCCAGCCAGAACACAAGGCCUAUUUUUGGUUUUGGUUACAUUCGGCUGUGAACAUUGGCAUGAAGGGCGAGGGGCUCCGUGAUAGAGAGCAUUUUUCUGCUCUUUAUUUAAAUAGGCUCCUUCCCAGAAGAGUAACGACCCAAAAUUUGCAGUUCCAGUAAAAUGCUGUCGGAGGAGUGCUGGGGAAAAAAAGGUAUGUGAUAGAAGUAGAGGUCUGAAAAGUAAAGUAGAGCAGAACUGCAUGCAAACAACAUGAGAUACUGCAGGAACUCCAAGUCUUCUUUCAUUAACUGU
Molecule: long non-coding RNA, 572 nt
Filed under: Calidris pugnax (ruff)
Lineage: Eukaryota; Metazoa; Chordata; Aves; Charadriiformes; Scolopacidae
Description: lncRNA (ENSCPUG00000012220.1)
Source: RNAcentral